Molecule: long non-coding RNA, 363 nt
Organism: Carya illinoinensis
Lineage: Eukaryota; Viridiplantae; Streptophyta; Magnoliopsida; Fagales; Juglandaceae
Exons: 2
Source: RefSeq, a predicted model, not a curated record
UCUCUCUCUCUCUCUCUCUCUCGUAUCUGAAUAAUAACAAAUGAAGAUGAAGGAGAAAUGCAGCGUGUCCAUGAUGUUUGACUUUAAAAUAUAUACCCUGCCCGCCCCACCUUUCCAUUUCAGCUCAAGUUUGGAAAGACAUUAUGAGGUUACAAGAUCAUCUAAAGACGUAUAUAGACUAGAUAGAGAGGCUAACUGCCUGGCGGAUGCAUUAGCAAACUCGAGGUUUCCUUUUCUUCUUUCUACUGAGUUUAAUUGGAAUGUAAUUUGUAUAGGAUCCACUUUACUGUGAUUUUUUUGGAGAAAAUUUUGUAACCUAAAGAGACCAUUUGCAUGAAUCUACACUGGGGAGUCUUUUGUUAA